AUACCGCAUACGCCCUACGGGGGAAAGAUUUAUMGGGGAAGGAUUGGCCCGCGUUGGAWUAGCUAGUUGGUGGRGUAAAGGCCUACCAAGGCGACGAUCCAUAGCUGGUCUGAGAGGAUGAWCAGCCACAUUGGGACUGAGACACGGCCCAAACUCCUACGGGAGGCAGCAGUGGGGAAUAUUGGACAAUGGGCGCAAGCCUGAUCCAGCCAUGCCGCGUGAGUGAUGAAGGCCUUAGGGUUGUAAAGCUCUUUCACCGGAGAAGAUAAUGACGGUAUCCGGAGAAGAAGCCCCGGCUAACUUCGUGCCAGCAGCCGCGGUAAUACGAAGGGGGCUAGCGUUGUUCGGAAUUACUGGGCGUAAAGCGCACG
Molecule: ribosomal RNA, 371 nt
Filed under: Agrobacterium sp.
Lineage: Bacteria; Pseudomonadati; Pseudomonadota; Alphaproteobacteria; Hyphomicrobiales; Rhizobiaceae
Description: bacterial SSU rRNA
Rfam family: Bacterial small subunit ribosomal RNA
Source: RNAcentral